Small nucleolar RNA from Lampris incognitus (smalleye Pacific opah), 82 nucleotides. RefSeq annotates it as small nucleolar RNA SNORD74. The record is from RefSeq and is a predicted model, not a curated record. NCBI's taxonomy places the organism in Eukaryota, Metazoa, Chordata, Actinopteri, Lampriformes, Lampridae. The transcript has a single exon.
CCCAUGCUCAAAUGAUGAAACAAGUGUUGGUAGGGACAUCUGAGUGAAGUUGAGGAAACGCCAACCUAUCUGAUUGCAUGGG